This 495-nucleotide ribosomal RNA is filed under the name uncultured bacterium. RNAcentral's name for it is "partial 16S ribosomal RNA". It matches the Rfam family "Bacterial small subunit ribosomal RNA", at positions 28 to 507 of the family's 1533-position model. The record is from RNAcentral.
GACGAACGCUGGCGGCGUGCCUAAUACAUGCAAGUAGAACGCUGAAGGAGGAGCUUGCUUCUCUGGAUGAGUUGCGAACGGGUGAGUAACGCGUAGGUAACCUGCCUGGUAGCGGGGGAUAACUAUUGGAAACGAUAGCUAAUACCGCAUAAUAGUAGAAGUCGCAUGACAUUUGCUUAAAAGGUGUAAUUGCAUCACUACCAGAUAGACCUGCGUUGUAUUAGCUAGUUGGUGAGUUAACGGCUCACCAAGGCAACGAUACAUAGCCGACCUGAGAGGGUGAUCGGCCACACUGGGACUGAGACACGGCCCAGACUCCUACGGGAUGCAGCAGUAGGGAAACUUCUGCAAUGGACGGAAGUCUGGCCGAGCAACGCCGCGUGAGUGAAGAAGGUUUUCGGAUCGUAAAGCUCUGUUGUAAGAGAAGAACGAGUGUGAGAGUGGAAAGUUCACACUGUGACGGUAUCUGACCAAAAAGGGACGGCUAACUACGUG